GGCCCGUUGGUCAAGUGGUUAAGACACCGCCCUUUCACGGCGGUAACACGGGUUCGAAUCCCGUUACGGGUCACCA
RNAcentral lists this transfer RNA (76 nucleotides) under Streptococcus pneumoniae. RNAcentral describes it as "tRNA-Glu(ttc)". It matches the Rfam family "tRNA". From Rfam's summary of the family: Transfer RNA (tRNA) molecules are approximately 80 nucleotides in length. Lineage: Bacteria; Bacillati; Bacillota; Bacilli; Lactobacillales; Streptococcaceae. The record is from RNAcentral.